This is a long non-coding RNA of Alexandromys fortis (reed vole), 2646 nucleotides long. RefSeq lists it as uncharacterized. The transcript has 4 exons. NCBI's taxonomy places the organism in Eukaryota, Metazoa, Chordata, Mammalia, Rodentia, Cricetidae. The record is from RefSeq and is a predicted model, not a curated record.
GCAGAUCUCCGGGCCAGCGGUGUGGGCGACCCUUAUCCAUAGCUACUCUACCCGGGAAGGGCCAGGUACCCCUCCAGCUCAUGGUGACUAAACCCACUCAACUGGCUAUGAACAUUGGUCAUCAAAGGAACCUACCGGGGUGAGCUUCUUCUCCAGCACCGUGUCUGCCUGCACGCCACUAUGUACCACCAUGAUGAUAACGGAAUGGACCUCUGAAACUGUAUUUGUUACAAGAAGGACAAAGUAGCUAAUGCAUACAUUUUGGGUUGCUACAACUGAAACUCUUCUGUGAUUCCUGCCUUAGGUGGGCCUUUCUUCCUUCAGCUGCCAGGAAAUGACUUCACUCUCACGCGCGGAAGUGUGCGUCAUCCACCAGCUCGGCACCCAUGGACCACACAGUGCCUGUUUCCAGCUACUCCUGUCUUCCUUCAGUCCUUGAGAUGAUGGAUACUGAAAUGCUCUCUCUGAAGGGCGGCACUUAACUACUAAAUGAGUUCAAUCUUCAGUCUCCUCUCCUAACAUGUGUGGAUUCUCUGGAAAUGCUUCAGUUAUGUAAAUCUGCCCCUUGUCUGUGAGUCCUCGGAAACAUUUACUAUAUAUUCCAUUCCCGGGGCUGAAAUCAAAUCACAGGUGGUAUCCUUUGUUGUUGCUGUUUUGUUUUGUUUUUGUUUUGAGACAAGGUUUCUCUGUGUAUCUUUGGCUCUCCUACAAUUCACUCUAGACCAGCCUGGCCCUGAACCCAGAGAUCUACCUGCCCUUGCCUCCCGAGUGCUGGGAUUAAAGGCAUGCACCACCACCACCCGGACACAGGUGGCAUUUUAAAGGAAAAGCCACUACAUUAUGACAUUGCUUGCUUGCUAGCUACCCAGCAGCUACACCUUGGCCUGUUUUGUUUUUUUACUUAUCAUACUUCUGGGAAUUUCUAUUAAGGCUCUGAAAGGAUUACAUACAUAUUCUACAUCUCCCCCCCCCCCACACACACACACACUUAGCUGUCCUUCAAAGGAAACUUAAUGCUAUAAGCAGCAUUUGUUGUUUUAUGGAUCUCAUUCUUAUGUCAGACUUAGGUACCUGAAAAUGCCCAGUGAUUUCUGAUUUCCAGGGCCUUGCUUCCAUUAUUCCUAUCUCCUGUCACGACACAAAUAACUGCCUCAAAGCCCAGUGGCUUAGAACAGUAAGUUGCUUGUUCAUAAAGGUGCCUGCAGUUUAGGCAGGAAUGUGAGCAGACAGGAAUGGUGUCUCAGCUGGAUGGUGCCUCCAAGAUGGCGGAUGGACAAGGUGGGCCAGGAAGCUGAGAGGAAGUGCUGGGGACAGGGAUGAGGUCUUAAUUUCCUGCAUGCAGGCCUCUCCAGGUCACUGUAGACUCUCCAUUAUGGAGAAGCUCAGUUCCAAGAGGAAGGAAACAGAAGCUGCCAGGAUUUUAGAAUGCCUGUGCUCACAACUCCAGAAUGCCCUUUUCUCUACAUUCUAUUGGGCCCAGCUCAGCUUCGAGGAGAAAACACUUAAGGCCCAUUUCUCUUUCUUUAAAAACCAAACCAAACCAGAUUUACCUUAUUUAGGUGUAUGCGUACACCAUGUGUGUGCAGGUGUUUGUAGAAGUUUGAGAGUGAGUGUUGGGUUCCUUGGGACUGGAGUUACAAGCAGUUGUGAGACCAAUGUUCUUUGCUAGUGCAUUAAAUUGCUGAGCUGUCUCGCAAGCCUUCAAAUUCCCUCUUGUGCGCGCAAUGGUGAAUUAUUUGGGAAUAUAUUGGAAGACUAGCUACCACUAUUCAUUCUUUGAUCACCAUGAAUGCCCUUCCCAUGUGGAAGCCGCUCUCCCCCACCCCCCUUAAGACAUCAUUGUAGCUCAUUCUAUCAUAAAUCAGUUUUUUAAAAAUUUCAUUUCGUGUGUUUGCCUGCAUGCAUAUCCGCGUGAAGGUGCCAGAUCGCCUGAAACUGGAGUUAUAGUUAUCAGCUGCUAUGUGGGUGCUGGGAAUUGAACCCAGGUCCUUGGGAAAACCAGCAAUGCUUUUAUACACUGAGCCAUCUCUUCAGCACUCCCCCACCAUAAAUCAGUUUUUAAUCUAUGCCAGGAAUGAUGAAACCACAGCUCAAGAGCCAAGUACAUCCUGUGGCUUAUUUUUAUAUUGCCCCUGGGAUAAGAAUGAUUUUUAUAUUUGUUAAAGGAUUAUAAAAACAAAGACUGUGUGACAGACAUUGUUAGGAUUCAGGCAUUAUGCUGGCCUGCCCUGUCAUCUGACAAGAUGUACCCAGGCAAUACGCUGGUCAGCCCAGGGUCCUACUUCAUAGGCAGGUGCAAAGGUCCCUUUAAGAGACGGCCCACUCCCAGCCUCUCUUUCCCCGCUGUUCCUCUGAAUGGGCAGGCAGGCUUUUUCCUGCUCCUUUUCUUUCUCUGUGUCCCUUCUAUCUUUCUUCCUGCCAUUCUCUCUGAGGCGGCAGCUUUCUGCCUCCCUCUUUCUGUCUGUCUCUCAUUUUCUCUUCCCUUUCCAUUUUCUUUAUAAACUCCACACUUGAACUCUGUCGGCAUGGCGUAUUUGUCACCCACCACAGUUCUCACCCGCCAUGGGACCUGCCAAGGUUUCUUUUGCGCUGUUUUGCAACAGGCGUUGCACAUAUGUCCCGUGAAGCCGAAAAUUAUUCACUCUC